RNAcentral lists this ribosomal RNA (497 nucleotides) under uncultured bacterium. RNAcentral's name for it is "partial 16S ribosomal RNA". It matches the Rfam family "Bacterial small subunit ribosomal RNA", at positions 28 to 507 of the family's 1533-position model. The record is from RNAcentral.
GAUGAACGCUGGCGGCGUGCCUAAUACAUGCAAGUCGAGCGAACAGACGAGGAGCUUGCUCCUUUGACGUUAGCGGCGGACGGGUGAGUAACACGUAGGUAACCUACCUAUAAGACUGGGAUAACUUCGGGAAACCGGAGCUAAUACCGGAUAAUAUUUCGAACCGCAUGGUUCGAUAGUGAAAGAUGGCUUUGCUAUCACUUAUAGAUGGACCUGCGCCGUAUUAGCUAGUUGGUAAGGUAACGGCUUACCAAGGCAACGAUACGUAGCCGACCUGAGAGGGUGAUCGGCCACACUGGAAGUGAGACGCGGUCCAGACUCCUACGGGAGGCAGCAGUAGGGAAUCGUACGCAAUGGGCGAAAGCAUGACGGAGCAACGCCGCGUGAGUGAUGAAGGUCUUCGGAUCGUAAAACUCUGUUAUUGGGGAAGAACAAACGUGUAAGUAACUGUGCACGUCGUGACGGUACCUAAUAAGAAAGCCACGGCUAACUACGUG